This 821-nucleotide ribosomal RNA is filed under the name uncultured Ascomycota. Its description in RNAcentral is "LSU rRNA". It matches the Rfam family "Eukaryotic large subunit ribosomal RNA", at positions 386 to 1234 of the family's 3401-position model. Lineage: Eukaryota; Fungi; Ascomycota. The record is from RNAcentral.
UCGCCCUUGUGAAAUUGUUGAAAGGGAAGCGCUUGCAACCAGACCUGCCUGCAGUUGCUCAUCCGGGCUUUUGCCCGGUGCACUCUUCUGCUGUCAGGCCAGCAUCGGUUCGGGCGGUCGGAUAAAGGCUUCGGGAAUGUAGCUCCUCUCGAGGAGUGUUAUAGCCUGUUGCGAAAUGCGGCCAGCCUGAACUGAGGUCCGCGCUUCGGCUAGGAUGCUGGCGUAAUGGUUGUAAGCGGCCCGUCUUGAAACACGGACCAAGGAGUCUAACAUCUGUGCGAGUGUUUGGGUGUUAAACCCGUACGCGUAAUGAAAGUGAACGGAGGCGGGAACCCCUCGGGGUGCACCGUCGACCGAUCCUGAUGUCUUCGGAUGGAUUUGAGUAAGAGCAUAGCUGUUGGGACCCGAAAGAUGGUGAACUAUGCCUGAAUAGGGUGAAGCCAGAGGAAACUCUGGUGGAGGCUCGCAGCGGUUCUGACGUGCAAAUCGAUCGUCAAAUUUGGGCAUAGGGGCGAAAGACUAAUCGAACUAUCUAGUAGCUGGUUCCUGCCGAAGUUUCCCUCAGGAUAGCAGUAACGUUUUCAGUUUUAUGAGGUAAAGCGAAUGAUUAGAGGCCUGGGGGUUGAAACAACCUUCACCUAUUCUCAAACUUUAAAUAUGUAAGAAGUCCUUGUUGCUUAGUUGAACGUGGACAUUUGAAUGUAUCGUUACUAGUGGGCCAUUUUUGGUAAGCAGAACUGGCGAUGCGGGAUGAACCGAACGCGGAGUUAAGGUGCCGGAAUGCACGCUCAUCAGACACCACAAAAGGUGUUGGUUCAUCU